RNAcentral lists this transfer RNA (80 nucleotides) under Comamonas aquatica. RNAcentral describes it as "tRNA-Thr(cgt)". The record is from RNAcentral. Lineage: Bacteria; Pseudomonadati; Pseudomonadota; Betaproteobacteria; Burkholderiales; Comamonadaceae.
GCUGAAGUCGGGAGCUGGCCACCUCAGUUCUCUCCUUCGUAAUGAGAAGGUCGCGUGUUCGAUUCAUGUCUCCGGCACCA